GUACUUGCUUCGGCAGUACACGUAGUAAAAUUACAACGAUACAGAGAAGUUUAGCAUAGCCCCCUGCGCAAGGAUGACACGGAAAAUCGAGAAAAAAAAAACAAGUUAUU
Schistocerca gregaria is the source of this 110-nucleotide small nuclear RNA. The record is from RefSeq and is a predicted model, not a curated record. NCBI's taxonomy places the organism in Eukaryota, Metazoa, Arthropoda, Insecta, Orthoptera, Acrididae.